This is a long non-coding RNA of Mangifera indica (mango), 3885 nucleotides long. RefSeq lists it as uncharacterized. The transcript is spliced from 2 exons. Lineage: Eukaryota; Viridiplantae; Streptophyta; Magnoliopsida; Sapindales; Anacardiaceae. The record is from RefSeq and is a predicted model, not a curated record.
ACACACAAAAUCAAUCCCUUCGAUCUUCCUUUCCCCGAGAGGCUACCUCUCCCUGCUAUUCUCUUUCUUCUCAAUUGUUAGCCCCCAUUUUCUUUCCUCCUCCCCUUUUAUAUCAAGCUCCUCAAUGUUGUUUUCCCGCUCUACUCUUGUCACAUCAGCUUUGGGUGCCUUUAUGGUCCCCUCUGGCUUCUGGUGCACGCUUGCUGUUUUUGUUUUCAGCUGAAGUUGGCCUAUUGCUUCUGCUCCAGUCUGUUGAUCUCCAGGGGCCUCUCUUGCUGUCCCUUUCUUCUUGCUUUUAUUCCUUACAUAGACCCUUGCUCUAACAGAUUACAGCGAUGCUCUCAUCGGUGGAGGCUUCUCUUUCAAGAACCCAAAUGCUACUCCAAAUUGCAGUUGCGGUAAAUCCUUUUCAGCCGAGAUGUGAAAUCAUAUAGUUUAUACAAAGAAAAUUUAAGUAUUAAACAUAUCACAAGCAGAUUGUGUACAAAGGAAACUCCUAAGAAUUUAGUAUAAUUACAUGAUUCUAAUUCUUCUGCUCUGCAUUACAAAUCUCCAUUGGAUUCUGCUGAUUUGUGAACCCACUUUACAUUAUUGGGCAAGCUUAUUCUUGUGUGAUUUAUCGAAUUGGUAGAGGAUACUUUCUCUGCAUGUUCUCAAGAACAGGUUUAUUAAAUCUUUAUCAAGUCAAGAAAGGAUCUUACUUCUUCUCUCUUUGUGCGAAACGCUCUUGUUUCCUGCCGAGCUGCUGAUGUUUGCAUAUUUAUCAUCUUUGAAGCUUGCUUACCCUGGAAGCUUUUGCGCAGAGCUGCUAGUGUUUAUUUGUUCUUUAUCUUUGAAGCUUGUUUGUGUGGCAAAGUUUUGUGCAAUGAUGCCACUAUGCGCAAAUCCAUCCUCUUUGUUGAAACUUGGUGGCCUGUUAGCCUCCUGUAAGGGGUUACUUUUGAUUGUCCACGGAGAGGUGGAGUCUUGACUGUUGAAGCUUGGACUUUGGUGAUUUCUACGCCAUUGCCAACUGGGACCCUUUGUUUUUGGAGAGAUGGUGUCUCCAAAACCUGGUGUAUGGCUGCUUCCAUUCUGACCAUUGACGCUGUAAGUUGUAUGUGGUUCAUAAACUUUAUUCUUACCCUUCUUUGCUAUAGGAGAGCUGGUGCCUGGAUUUAAUCUUUUUCUACCACACAUCAUCAGACAACUCCGCCAGAAACUUGCUUUAGGAGUCUUAGGACUUUCAACUUCAUUUUUGAGUUGUUCAUCUGUAGAUUGUUGACCAGAGGCUAGCCAUCUAGAGUUGCUCUUGCCUUGUGUAGUAGCCUUGCUAUCAUCCGUGGAUGAUUUAUCAAAAGCCUGUCCUGAGCUGCUAUCAUCUUUAGCAGUACCUUUUGCGGUACUCUUAUUGUCAUCUGCAGAUUGUUGACCAGAGGCCAGCUGUCUAGAGCUGCUACUAUCUUUAGCAGUAUUUUUUGUGGCACUCUUAUUUUCAUCUGCAGAUUGUUGAUCAGAGGCCCGCUGUCUAGAGCUGCUCUUGCCAUGUGUGUUAGCCGUGCUAUCAUCUGUGGAUGAUUUACCAAAGGCCUGUCCUGAGCUGCUACUAUCUUUAGCAGUAUUUUUUGCGGCACUUUUAUUGUCAUCUGCAGAUUGUUGACAAGAGGCCAGCUGUUUAGAGCUGCCACUAUCUUUAGCAGUAUUUUUUGCAGCACUCUUAUUGUCAUCUGCAGAUUGUUGACCAGAGGCCGGCUGUAUAAAGCCGCUCUUGCCUUUUGUAGUAGUCGUGCUAUCAUCUGUGGAUGAUUUACCAAAGGCCUGUCCUGAGCUGCUAUCAUCUUUAGCAGUAUCUUUUGCGGUACUCUUAUUGUCAUCUGCAGAUUGUUGACUACAGACCAGCUGUCUAGAGCUGCUACUAUCUUUAGCAGUAUUUUUUGCGGCACUCUUAUUGUCAUCUGCAGAUUGUUGAUCAGAGGCUGGCUGUCUAGAGCUGCUCUUGCCGUGUGUGGUAGCCAUGCUAUCAUCUGUGGAUGAUUUACCAAAGGCCUGUCCUGAGCUGCUACUAUCUUUAGCAGUAUUUUUUGUGGCACUCUCAUUGUCAUCUGCAGAUUGUUGAUCAGAGGCCGGCUGUCUAGAGCUACUCUUGCAGUGUGUGGUAGCCGUGCUAUCAUCUAUGGAUGAUUUACCAAAGGCCUGUCCUGAGCUGCUACUAUCUUUAGCAUUACUUUUUGCACCACUGUUAUAGUCAUCUGCUGAUUGUUGACAAAAGGCCAGCUGUUUAGAGCUGCCACUAUCUUUAGGAGUAUUUUUUGCAGCACUCUUAUUGUCAUCUGCAGAUUGUUGACCAGAGGCCGGCUAUCUAGAGCCGCUCUUGCCUUUUGUAGUAGUUGUGCUAUCAUCUGUGGAUGAUUUACCAAAGGCCUGUCUUGAGCUGCUAUCAUUUUUAGCAGUACCUUUUGCGGUACUCUUAUUGUCAUCUGCAGAUUGUUGAUCAGAGGCCAGCUGUCUAGAGCUGCUACUAUCUUUAGCAGUACUUUUUGCGGCACUCUUAUUGUCAUCUACAGAUUGUUGAUCAGAGGCCGGCUGUCUAGAGCUGCUCUUGCCGUGUGUGGUAACUGUGCUAUCAUCUGUGGAUGAUUUACCAAAGGCCUGUCCUGAGAUGCUACUAUCUUUAGCAGUACCUUUUGCGGUACUCUUAUUGUCAUCUGCAGAUUGUUGACCAGAGGCCAGCUGUCUAGAGCUGCUACUAUCUUGAGCAGUAUUUUUUGCGGCACUCUUAUUGUCAUCUGCAGAUUGUUGAUCAGAGGCCGGAUGUCUAGAGCUGCUCUUGCCGUGUGUGGUAGCUGUGCUAUCAUCUGUGGAUGAUUUACCAAAGGCCUGUCCUGAGAUGCUACUAUCUUUAGCGGUACUUUUUGCGGCACUCUUAUUGUCAUCUGCAGAUUGUUGACAAGAGGCCAGCUGUUUAGAGCUGCCACUAUCUUUAGCAAUAUUUUUUGCGGCACUCUUAUUGUCAUCUGCAGAUUGUUGACAGGCCAGCUGUCUAGAGCUGCUCUUGCCUUGUGUAGUAGCCGUGCUAUUAUCUGUGGAUGAUUUACCAAGGGCCUGUCCUGAGCUGCUACUAUCUUUAGCAGUACUUUUUGCGGUACUCUUAUAGUCAUCUGCUGAUUGUUGACCAGAGGCUGGCUGCCUAGAGCUGCUCUUGCCUUGUGUAGCAGCUGUGCUGUCAUCUGUGGAUGAUUUACCAUAGGCCUGUCCUGAGCUGCUUUUAUCUUUAUCAGUAUUUUUUGCAGCAUUCUUAUUGUUUUCAUUUGCAGCUUGUCGACUAGAGGCCGGUUGUCUAGAGCUGCACUUACUUUUCAGAAUAGUCGUGUUUUCAUUUGCAGAUUGUUGACCACAUGCCUGUCCAGAAUUACUCUGAUUAUCAGUAGUAGUUGCUCUCCUGCCUACAUUUUCUCCACCGGAUUCAAGUGUUGGUUUGUUGGUUUCUGUAUUUUUUGCAGUACAGCAGCCGCAACAACACCAUUUACCAAGGCAGUCACAGAAACUUUUCCAGCAACCUGGUGGAUCAGGAAUAGUGGGUUGUUCAGGGCCAUUCUUUUUCCCAUGCUGUUGUUUCGGAGUCAUAAUUGCAGAGUUUGUAUGUAAAUAAUUGCGUUGGGUUGGUGAUUAACCACAAAUUCCGUGGUGUCUUACAAAAAAAAGUUCAAAAAAUCCUCCUGGAAAAUUGUCCGGAAAGAAUAUUUAUCUUGGAAUUACUUCCAAGACUGUGUUAGAACAUGCUGCACUGUGAAGUUGCCCCAAGAUUCUUCCAUUAAGAAUUGCUCAACUUCCAAGCAAAAAACGGAUAAUAGGGACAAGCAAGAAUUAAAGCAAUAAAUAAAAUAUGCAGAUGAAUUCUCAGAAUAA